Molecule: ribosomal RNA, 635 nt
Filed under: uncultured bacterium
Lineage: Bacteria
Description: bacterial SSU rRNA
Rfam family: Bacterial small subunit ribosomal RNA
Source: RNAcentral
GAGUUUGAUCAUGGCUCAGGAUGAACGCUGGUAGUAUGCUUUACACAUGCAAGUCGUACGAGAGUUUUUAACUCAAGUGGCGGACGGGUGAGUAACACGUAAGAAUUUGCCUUUAGGAGGGGGAUAACAACUGGAAACGGUUGCUAAUACCCCAUAUGCUUUCGAGUGAAAUGGAAUUUUCCGCCUAGAGAGAAGCUUGCGGCUGAUUAGCUUGUUGGUAAGGUAAUGGCUUACCAAGGCGACGAUCAGUAUCUGGUUUGAGAGGACGAUCAGACACACUGGAACUGAGACACGGUCCAGACUCCUACGGGAGGCAGCAGUGGGGAAUUUUCCGCAAUGGGCGAAAGCCUGACGGAGCAAUACUGCGUGAGGGAUGACGGCCUAUGGGUUGUAAACCUCUUUUUUCAGGGAGGAAUAAAAUGACGUGUACCUGAAGAAUAAGCAUCGGCUAACUCCGUGCCAGCAGCCGCGGUAAGACAGAGGAUGCAAGUGUUAUCCGGAAUCACUGGGCGUAAAGCGUCUGUAGGUGGUUUAAUAAGUCAACUGUUAAAUCUUGGAGCUCAACUUCAAAAUCGCAGUCGAAACUAUUAGACUAGAGUAUAGUAGGGGUAAAGGGAAUUUCCAGUGGAGCGGUG